CUGGUCAGACCAUCCUCCAUGGAUACAGUUUUGGUGACUGUAUGUGGAGAGGUAAAGAGCUAGGAGAUAAAAGGAAUAAACAAACAACAAUGGAAAUGAGUAAAAAUAAUUUAAGGCUGUAGCUGCCUGACUGCAGCUAGUUUCCAGAAAAGCAAGUUGGGGGAAAAGUUCCUAUAAUGGCUACGCUGCAGAGAGAAGAAGUAAUAGGUAGCAGCUCAUGUUAUCGGCACAGACCUGCGGUCCAGCUUGUCCAGGAUCCUGUCUCCAUCAAUGGCCACCACCACAUGCUUUGGAGCAAGGAAUGAGA
Mauremys reevesii (Reeves's turtle) is the source of this 307-nucleotide long non-coding RNA. RefSeq lists it as uncharacterized. The transcript has 3 exons. NCBI's taxonomy places the organism in Eukaryota, Metazoa, Chordata, Testudines, Geoemydidae. The record is from RefSeq and is a predicted model, not a curated record.